AUUGAAGGCUUUCUCACCGUCUGAUCCAGCUCAUAUUUGGAGACCUUAAAGAUGGAAGUAUCAGCUUUCCAGCACACUUUACAGCUUGACAAUCCAACGGUUCAAUCAAAAGAUACGCGAAGAGCAAGAUGUCCCGUAAACCAGCCGGCGAGCGUUUCCACCCGCGGCCAACAGACCAAUCCCCGCGGUCACAACCGCCGCGACCGCGGCCAGCCACCCAU
Molecule: long non-coding RNA, 221 nt
Filed under: Eutrema salsugineum
Lineage: Eukaryota; Viridiplantae; Streptophyta; Magnoliopsida; Brassicales; Brassicaceae
Description: long non-coding RNA (ESAL_LNC001893)
Source: RNAcentral